RNAcentral lists this ribosomal RNA (254 nucleotides) under uncultured bacterium. Its description in RNAcentral is "partial 16S ribosomal RNA". It matches the Rfam family "Bacterial small subunit ribosomal RNA", at positions 524 to 776 of the family's 1533-position model. The record is from RNAcentral.
UACGUAGGUGGCAGGCGUUGUCCGGAUUUACUGGGCGUAAAGAGCGCGCAGGCGGUCGUUCAAGUCGCGUGUGAAAGCCCCCGGCUCAACUGGGGAGGGUCACGCGAUACUGAUCGACUCGAAGGCAGGAGAGGGUAGUGGAAUUCCCGGUGUAGUGGUGAAAUGCGUAGAUAUCGGGAGGAACACCAGUGGCGAAGGCGACUACCUGGCCUGUUUCUUGACGCUGAGGCGCGAAAGCUAGGGGAGCAAACGGG